CUGGAAUAAUAAAAGAAAUACAAGAUUGAGUGCCCAGUUAAUAAGCCAUUUUUAUCAUUUUUCUUUCAUAAGUUAUUACAGGCUUAGGAAUUGUGUGUGUGUGUGUGUGUGUGUGUGUGUGUGUGUGUGUGUGUGUGAUUAGAUAUGAAUCACAAUUUCACAAAGAGCAGCAUUUUCAAGUAUAAAGGGACCUGCAGAAGAUCCCUACACCAUCCUCCUGUGUGUGCCAGA
This 231-nucleotide small RNA is filed under the name Marmota monax (woodchuck). Lineage: Eukaryota; Metazoa; Chordata; Mammalia; Rodentia; Sciuridae. The record is from RNAcentral.